UCUCCAAACAACGUUGCCACACGCGGAGAGCACGGAGAUUUCUGGGGCUUUGGAGGGAAUCGUGAGCGGGCGGGAGGAGGCCGGGGACCACACAGAACUGAGAUCCAGAGAGAUGAUGACUUUGCCCAUAGACCAAACAAAGAAAUACAUGUUUCAGUCCUGUGUCCUCCUGCUAUGUGUGUCCGGAAUUGGUGGGUUCUUGGUCUCACUGACUUCAAGAAUGAAGCUGCGGACCCUCGCGGUGAGUGUUACAGUUCUUAAAGGCAGUGUGUCCAGAGUUUGUUCCUACUGAUGUGUGGAUGUGUUCGGAGUAUCUUCCUUCUGGUGGGUUCGUGGUCUCGCUGGCUCAGGAGUGAAGCUGCAGACCUUCGUGGUGAGUGUUACAGCUCUUAAGGUGGUGCGUCUGGAGUUGUUCAUUCCUCCCAGCGGGCUCGUGGUCUCACUGGCUUCAGGAGUGAAGCUGCAGACCUUCGCGGUGAGUGUUACAGCUCAUAAAGGCAGCGUGGACCCAAAGAGUGAGAAGUAGCAAGAUUUAUUGCGAAGAGCGAAAGAACAAAGCUUCCACGAUGUGGAAGGAGACCCCAGCAGAUUGCCACUGCUGGCUUGGGCAGCCUGCUUUUAUUCUCUUAUUUGGCCCCCACCCACAUCCUGGUGAUUGGUAGAGCCCAGUGGUCUGUUUUGACAGGGCGCUGAUUGGUGCGUUUACAAUCACUGAGCCAGAUACAAAGGUUCUCCAGGUCCCCACUAGAUUAGCUAGAUACAGAGUGUCUAUUGGUGCAUUCACAAACCCUGAGCUAGACACAGGGUGUUGAUUGGUGUGUUUACAAACCUUGAGCUAGAGACAGAGUGCCGAUUGGUGUAUUUACAAUCCCUGAGCUAGACACAAAGGUUCUCCACGUCCGCACCAGACUCAGGAGCCCAGCUGGCUUCACCCAGUGGAUCCCGCACUGCCCCUGCAGGUGGAGCUGCCUGCCAGUCCCUCGCGGUGCGCCCGCACUCCUCAGCCCUUGGGUGGUCGAUGGGACUGGGCGCUGUGGAGCAGGAGGCGGCGCUUGCUGGGGAGGCUCCUGCGGCACAGGUGCCCACGGAGGGGGUGGGAGGCUCAGGCAUGGCGGGCUGCAGGUCCCGAGCCCUGCCCCUUGGGAAGGCAGCUAGGGCCCCGGGAGAAAUCGAGCGCAGCGCCGGUGGGUCAGCACUGCUGGGGGACCCAGUACACCCUCCACAGCCACUGGCUCGGGUGCUAAGCCCCUCAUUGCCUGGGGCCGGCAGGGCCUGCCGGCUGCUCCGAGUGCGGGCCGCCAAGCUCACACCCACCCAGAACUCCAGCUGGCCUGCAAGCGUCGCGUGCAGCCCCGGUUCCUGCUCGCAC
Homo sapiens (human) is the source of this 1369-nucleotide long non-coding RNA. Ensembl annotates it as KLF3 antisense RNA 1. Its record names the gene KLF3-AS1. The record is from Ensembl. NCBI's taxonomy places the organism in Eukaryota, Metazoa, Chordata, Mammalia, Primates, Hominidae.